Molecule: long non-coding RNA, 371 nt
Filed under: Felis catus (domestic cat)
Lineage: Eukaryota; Metazoa; Chordata; Mammalia; Carnivora; Felidae
Description: lncRNA (ENSFCAG00000046312.2)
Source: RNAcentral
GGUAGAGUUUGAUUGAGAGGUCAGGAGAGGACUCAGCCAUCAAAGGCAUCCAACUUGAAGACUAGAGAUACCCCCAGGGGCAAGGUUCCACUUGGACUGAGCACCAUGAGAAAAGGAGCAUCUGGUGUAGCAACAGAUUUGAAGGUGACCUCCAUUGAGCCCUAAGAGAGAUAACAGUCUCUCUGCAAUCAACAAGCCUGGCUCCUCUGGAUACUAAAACAGCAACUGUGGAGUAAAUCUGCCCCCAUCCCCACCUCCUUCCUUCUCUUUUUCUUCAGGACAACACAAAGAAACUCUACGGGAAGUAUAUGCUUUGAUGGUGGUAAACCCUGAGUGGCUCCUACAACAGGAUUGAGAAGGGUAAUUUUGCA